Long non-coding RNA from Chiloscyllium plagiosum (whitespotted bambooshark), 305 nucleotides. RefSeq lists it as uncharacterized. The record is from RefSeq and is a predicted model, not a curated record. NCBI's taxonomy places the organism in Eukaryota, Metazoa, Chordata, Chondrichthyes, Orectolobiformes, Hemiscylliidae.
ACAAAAAAACAAUGCUUCCAAGUUGAAAGCUGCAGUUAACCAUCUCUCAGAUCCUGGGACUGAUUUGAUUCACAGCCCCCUGUGAAGUUGUUUCACAUGAGCCUGCCUUUACUUACCUUGUUGGCUACUUACCAACACAAUCAUCUUCCACUCAGGAAGGCAGCUUCAUUUUGACUGCAGAAAUCAGCAAUUCCACUCUGUGACUGGCUGACCUGAGGUCUAAACGGGGAUUCUUUCACACUGCAAGUAAAGGAACCAAAAGCCAUGAAUAAAGGCCUUCAACACCGCAAGAAUAAAGAGAACCA